GGCGCCAUGGUCAAGUGGUUAAGACACCACCCUUUCACGGUGGUAUCACGAGUUCGAACCUCGUUGGCGUCA
Non-coding RNA from Oribacterium sp. oral taxon 078, 72 nucleotides. The record is from Rfam. Lineage: Bacteria; Bacillati; Bacillota; Clostridia; Lachnospirales; Lachnospiraceae.